GCCUGGGUGGCUCAGUGAGUUAAGCAUCCGACUUCGGCUCAGGUCAUGAUCUCACAGUUCGUGGGUUCGAGCCCCGCAUCAGGCU
This 85-nucleotide transfer RNA is filed under the name Felis catus (domestic cat). It matches the Rfam family "tRNA". From Rfam's summary of the family: Transfer RNA (tRNA) molecules are approximately 80 nucleotides in length. Their secondary structure includes four short double-helical elements and three loops (D, anti-codon, and T loops). Lineage: Eukaryota; Metazoa; Chordata; Mammalia; Carnivora; Felidae. The record is from Rfam by way of RNAcentral.